UCAUUAUCUUAAACAAAUUUGUGAUAAAAAAUGCUUCCUCCCUCCAUUAUCCAUACACCUCAUUCCUUUAAUUAACAUAUCUUUAUAAAUUUCAGACCAAGUCUCCCUUUUCCCACCCUUCAAAUCUCCUUCUUUUACUCUCCUCCACAUAUUCACUCUUCCCAUCCCAAUCAAUUAUUUUCAACAUAUUUGUCUAAAACCAUUAAUAUAGUUUCUGAAAAAACAUUUUUGUUAUUAUUUUACUGUUAGAAGAAGGGGAAGAAAACCAAAGGAGUAGGAGAAAGAGAAGCUUAAGCUCACAUACAUUUAACUAACCAAAAGAAAGAGAGUUUCAAAUUAUUAUUUUUCCAUAUAUUUAUAUUUUGCCUACUUAUAUUUGAUUUUAAACUUCUGCCUACAAAUGCCUCUCCACCACCCACCCACCCACCCUGUUCAAACCUGAGAACAUCUUAUUUGGUGGGGUGGGGUUCUUUAACUUUCCGGCGUGGGGUUGCUUGCUUAAUUCUCCGGCAAGUGGCUGCUUCAAAUUCCGACAAAAGGGUUUUUUCUUGAUUUUCCGGCGAGGGAUUGCUUAAUUUUUCGGCGAAGGGGAUUCUUGAUUUUCCGGCUAGGGGAAUUAUUAUUUUUUGAAAUAGUUUUGGGGGGAAAUUUUUGUUUUUGAUCGGAUUAAUACAACAACAACACACCGAGUGAAAUCCUAGGGGAAAAUAGAGUGUACACAGACUUUAUCUUAGGCGUUUUUGGUAGACCCUCGGACAAGCAAUUCGAUCGGAUUAAUACUACAACAACGUAGAAAUCCCACAAAGUAAAACUUGGGGGAGAAAAGAGUGUACGCAAACCUUACCCAGGUUGCUUCUGGCAUACAGAGAACAAGCAAAUCAAUUCGGGUUAAAUGACAAAACAAAUAGUGCUCCGUGCACCAUCAUCACUCUCCGUUGAUCGCCGCCGGCAACCUCUAUUAUCCGGACAAGAUUCCUCAUCCCGAGGAGGUGUCCGGAAAGCGGCGAGGUUCGCGGAGGUUGCCGGGGGGACGGCGGCGGAAUGCGCCGCCGUUUGUUGCUGCUGCCCAUGUGGGCUCGUCAACCUCCUCGUCCUCGCCGUAUACAAACUUCCGGCAGGACUCUGCCGGAAGGCGUUACGGCGAAAACGUAGGCGAAGGAUGAUGAAGAAAGGGCUAUUGCAACCGAAAGAAUCGGAGCUUUCGAUACACCCUAUCGGUGGUGGCGCCGCCACAAUGGCGGUGGUUGACGGUGGAAGUAGCUUGGAAUCCGAUAAGGAUGUGGUGGCACUUGAAAAGGAAAUGUGGAGUAAAUUUUAUGGUGCUGGAUUUUGGAGAAGUCCUUCUCAAAGGAGUGAUAUGUAAUAAUAUAACGGUUAAAUAACUGUAAAAAUGAAAAAUUGAAAAGAAAACAGAAUUAAAAAAUUCGUAUCUGAAAAAAGGAGAACAAAAAGGAAAUAUUACUCAGAUUCUAUGUAUAUUCUACCCUUGUAUUUACUGGUGAAUUUUUGGUUUCUUGAUCAAGAUGCUAUUUUUAUAGUGUUCGAUGGAUUACUUUAUAAAUAUUGAGCCAGUGAAGGAUCAAAAUGUUCUUCUUCUUCUUCUCUACUAUAACUCUUGAUUUCUUAAUCUAGUUGAAAUGGAAGAAAACGUUUUUUCUGAUUCUCCAUUUGAUGUUUAAUAUAAAAAACGUUUUUUCUGAUUCUCCAUUUGAUGUUUAAUAUAUGUGUUAAGGCUCGACUAAUUCGGAUUACUCUUUUCGUAUCGCUAGAGACAUUUAACCCCACUUUGCUAUCUUAAAUUACUUGCACUUUCGUAUUCUCAGUAUGGGUAGCAUUGAGUGUUUACAAGUAGCACGGUUUUUAAUGUUGAAUAACGGACAAAAUGUUUCAUUCAUUAGUAGUUUAAUGGCAUUAAGGAGGAAACGCCGGUGAAGGAUGAUGAAGAAAGGGCUAACGCAACCUAAAGAAUCGGAGCUUUCAAUACACCCUAUUGGUGGCGGCGCCGCCACAAUUGCGGUGGUUGACGGCGGAAGUAGCUGAGAAUCUGAUAAGGAUGUGGUGGCUCUUGAGAAGGAAAUGUGGAGUAAAUUUUAUGGUGCUGGAUUUUGGAGAAGUCCUUCUCAAAGGAGUGAUAUGUAAUAAAAUAACGGUAAAUAACUGUAAAAAAUAAAUGUUAAAAGAAAAAAAUUAUCUGAAAAAAGGAGAGCAAAAAGGAAAUAUCAUUCAAAUUCUAUGUAUAUUCAACCCUUAUAUUUACUGGUGAAUUUUUAGUUUCUUGAAGAUGCUAUUUUUAUAGAGUUAGAAGGAUUACUUUAUGAAUAUUAAGCCAGUGGAAAAUGCAAAUCUUCUUUUUCUUCUUCUCUAU
Lycium barbarum (goji berry) is the source of this 2365-nucleotide long non-coding RNA. RefSeq lists it as uncharacterized. The record is from RefSeq and is a predicted model, not a curated record. NCBI's taxonomy places the organism in Eukaryota, Viridiplantae, Streptophyta, Magnoliopsida, Solanales, Solanaceae. The transcript has 2 exons.